This 99-nucleotide ribosomal RNA is filed under the name uncultured bacterium. Its description in RNAcentral is "partial 16S ribosomal RNA". It matches the Rfam family "Bacterial small subunit ribosomal RNA", at positions 1386 to 1482 of the family's 1533-position model. The record is from RNAcentral.
CACACCGCCCGUCACGCCAUGGGAGUUGGUUUUACUCGAAGGUGGUGCGCUAACCCGCAAGGGAGGCAGCCAACCACGGUGAGAUCAAUGACUGGGGCG